CUUCUCUGUGAAAAAAGCAGAUGAUAACGGAUGCAGAGCUAGCUUGUGAUCACGCUCAUUACUAUCUUGUUAUCAAAGCAAGAACCAGAUGGUAUGACCUAGUAAGGGUAAGAAGAAUGUUUUCUUUAAAUAAAUAAGCAGCACUAAUAGAUUUCAGUACAUCAUGCAAUGUUGAUCUUCAGAUUCUAUAAAUAUUCAAAGAGACCCAUGCAAAAAAGCUCAUUAAUGAUAAAAAGUUACUCUGUAAUUAAGAAAGAAAUCCACUGUCUAAAUAAUAUGCAAUUUUUGCAACAUUCAUUACAUUUUAGAUGCUAUUAUGGUUAUCUCUAAAACUUUCUUCACAUUCUACUCUUGUUUAUUUUAUUCAAUGUGUCUGUUGUAAGAGGAGUAAUGGGCUACACCUGAGGCCUGACCACUAAGGCUGUACACAAACACAGCUUUCUGCUCUGCUGGCACUCAGUGCUUCCCAUCACAAAGAGCCAUUGAGGGUAAUGCUUACACCAUGCAAAAAGACUGUCUUAAAUCUAUCCUAUAAAAAUAUUCCCAUCUUCUUAAACUUCUUGAAAUAUUUGGUCAACGAAUAAUCAGCAGAAGAAAAAAAAUGAAUAUGAUUUUUUAACUAACUGUGUGCAUUCAACAGUAGUACUGGUAAUCUCAGUUUACAAAUUGACUGGUAAAACCACCAACAAACCCAAGCAAUCAACCUAAACCUGGACCAAAAUCUAAUUAGUAUUAGAUAUAGAAUGAAUUGGAGAGAAAAUCUACAGGUCUGUAAUUUUCCAGUCCAUUACCUGAUGUACUUGAAGAUGUCCCUGUUCAUUGCAGGGAUUGAACUUGAUAGCUUUUGAAAGUGCCUUCUGACCUAAAGUAUUCUAUUAUUCUAUUAUUCUGUUAUUUUCUGCUUCUUUCUCAAUUUCCAUUAUUUAUUCAGCUUGUAGAUAGAUCAGACAUUUUGUCAAACUUGUUGGUUCUUGUUAGUGAUGAUUUCUUUUGCAUUCCAGAAUUUUCAAGGGUUUGGCAGUGAAGGAAAUGGCAUUAUACAGCCAAGGGACGUGAGGAAGUUCUUGUUCCCAUUUGGCAUUCCAAUCGCCCUGGAAGGAUUGAAGCAGCUUUGGGCAAGCUUAGGAAUCAGCAUUCAUGACAGCAAGCUCUCUUAUUUUGAUUUCCUGAGAGCAAUUGAGGAUGGCAGAGCAUCUGAAUACCAGCAGAAACAAAAGCAGGCUGCACCACCUGCAAGCUUUGCAGAGCUCAGCUUAGAACAAACCCUAAUAAAGAUAAAGGAAACAGUUACGUCAUCUUAGGAUUUGUUGUAUAAGGUAAGUUUCAUCUUAUUUAAUGUCUAUUUUUUUUCUGCCUGGCUGGGUACUAUGCCAAAGGCUUCAAAACUUUACUGCUAUUGGGUGCUACCAGCAACCUUGGCCUGUGUAGAAAUACCAUCUUCUGGCAACUGUAGGCUUCUUAAUUGAUUGUAUUCUGGAAAUUCCA
RNAcentral lists this long non-coding RNA (1485 nucleotides) under Cyanistes caeruleus (blue tit). Its description in RNAcentral is "lncRNA (ENSCCEG00000005249.1)". Lineage: Eukaryota; Metazoa; Chordata; Aves; Passeriformes; Paridae. The record is from RNAcentral.